RNAcentral lists this long non-coding RNA (5972 nucleotides) under Homo sapiens (human). RNAcentral's name for it is "non-protein coding LINC00909:14". Lineage: Eukaryota; Metazoa; Chordata; Mammalia; Primates; Hominidae. The record is from RNAcentral.
GAAGGACUUCCGGUGGCUUCCAAGGCGACUCCGUAGUGGAUGCAGCGCCGGACGCCACAGCCGAAAAACAGAAUCUUGGAACUGGUUUAGUACAAUCCAGGUCGAGUUCCUUGUUUUUUAUCCGAGUGGCCGGCAGGCCCAUGUGCUGUCUUGUUUUUAACACAUCAGCUCUUGCCGGAAGCCGCUAAGAGAUAAAAUAGGAAGUCCCACCCUUCCCUUAGAGAAGGAAAACGGAGAGCCGAAGGAGUCAAUCUAAAUUCGAUGAGCGCGUCGGGCUCCAAGGCAGGCGCUGUCAGCCCGGGAGGGCUGUCUGGGAUUUCUAGAGGGUCCCAGAACGGGUUCUUCCCAGGCCGAUCCCGCCUGCUUCCUGCCCCGUCUCUCCACCCGCCUCCCGCCCUCUGUAAGGGACCCCGAGGGCGGCGCCGGAAACACGGAGAAGGCCCAGAACGGCGCGGGACCCGAGAGGCCUACGUUGGCAAACGCAGCCCGCUGCCCCUUUGCUCGCUUCCCCCGGGCCUGGAGUGGCUCCUGUCGCUUCUGGCGCUCCGAUUUCGAGAAAUGACUUUCAGCUGUGCAAGGCGAGAAUGCUACUUUAGAUGAUGAGAAAAAAUCUCUCGAAUGGCUCCCAAAAUGAGGUCCUUGUUUAAGAGGCCACAGGAAGCCGCUAGCCGAACUCUGAUACCAAAGAGGAGGCCAAGAAGCGGACUGUGGCUUGGUGACCUGUUUGGUAUUGCCAAAUUUUCAGCUUUUAUUAAAGCUGAAACACCUUGGCUGUUUAAAACGUUCGACAAGGACUUUUUUAUGAACGUUAACGGCACAGCAUACGGGUUUUUUGGAAAAAAAAAAAGGCAGGACUUCAGCCCGUCCGCCCCCUUGUGCAGGUCCAUUCAUGAACCUCGAGUUAGAGGCCUUUCUUCUGAAACUCAGAAUCUAGUAGGGAAGACCUGUGUAGACGAAUAAAAAUAAAUACAUCACAGCUUGUUAAGUGCUGUGACAAAGAGGCAGUGAAAUCCUGCUUGAGGUCAUCUGCCUUGCUAAAGAGGUUUGACUAUGUUGUAGGCACAGGGUUAGGGUUAGACUCUGUAAUGGGAAGUUAUGUGAUCAGAUUUCUGUUUAGGAAGAUCACUGGCCAGGCGGGGUGGCUUACGCCUGUAAUCCCAAUACUUUGGGAGGCCGAGUCGGUGGAUUGCUUGAGGCUAGGAUUUUGAGACCAGCCUGGGGAAACCGCGUCUCUACUAAAAAUUUGAAAUUAGCCAGGCAUGGUGGUGCGAGCCUGUAAUUCCAGCUACUUGGAGGCUGAGGCGGGAGAAUAGCUUGAACCCAGUGGCGGAGGCUGCAGUGAGCCGAGAUUGCGCCACUGCACUCCAGCCUGGGCGACAGAGCGAGAUUCCGUCUCAAAAAAAUCAUUGUAAGUAAUUGGAUUUUUGUGUGUGUGUGAUGUUCUGAAGAUAGGCUUUCUAGGCCAAAUCGUCACUCAAGGCCAAUUCGAACACAAUUCAGUUUAAAUCAGAAUACAUUCGAGUGAUAAUUCCUUACCUUUUUAAAUAGUUCAUAGAAAACUUUUUGUAGACAUUAUCUGGUUUAAUUCUGAUUGUAAUCCACAUGAAUUCUCUUAUCCACAGUAAGGAACAGUAAUUUAGAAGACUAAUAAACUGUUCCAAGAUCACACAGCUAGUAAAAGUGGAACUCAACCUAAAACUCCAGAGUCAAGCUUUUCCAUCAUGUAGACUCAGUUUAAUAGUAAUAGUUAAUUAAAAAUUCUAGAGAAAAAUGUGGGAAACAAUUUCCUCACAAGUGACCAGCUGCAAAUGUUAUUUGUAUUCCAUUAACCAACAUUUAUUGGGUGCCUGUUAUAUAAAAGAUAAAACUGGGUUCUGCCUUCAAAGAGUUCACUUGAAAUUUAAAAUUUAUGUGAAAAUUUAGCACUUCCUACAGUGUUUUAAUAGCUAUUUCAACAGUGUUGGUGUUGUAUGACAAGGUGAUAAAUUUCUUGACAAUAACAAUAGCACAAUUCUGUAUAUGGAUUGGGCAUUCUGUGAUCUUUGGGUGAUUUAUCUUGCUACCUUUCUUACCUUGGGGGUUUAGUUAACACUUAUGUUCCUCCCCUGAGCAGUGAAGUAAAAUCUAAGUUUAUGUUUCAGUUCUAUUUUGAGUAUUUUGAGUUACUAAGACAGGACCUUAAGGAAGUCAGUUUGACCUCAUUUCCAACUGAGAGAGUCCAUAGAUGUCAUUCAAGACUAAUUUUCUGAUUCUAAGGAAAAAGGGAAGUCUUUUUUUUUCUUCCUCUCUUUAUUUUUGAAUGAAUAAUGCUUGACAUGGACAACACAGACUUUUAGUGAAGACAGAGAGUCCUAGUGAUGAAACCACCUUUGCAAAAAUUACAACUGAGAAAAUUAUGACAGUGAAAGAGAUCUGACCUAACCAAUUCCAUCUUGCUUCUAAACUCUGUCCUUGUUCAUUCCUGGGCAUAGGCAGAACUAACUCUGGAAGGAACUUAGUUUAUAGUGUAACUUUGAAACAAAGAUGAUAACAGCUCAUUCUGAAAACAAACCCCUUUCUGGCCUGGGGACCAGACUGCCUUUUUAGGGCUAGCAAAUUAGCCACAAGAUUAGAAAUUACAGUUUAGGAAUAAUGCAGCUAGAGGCCACAAGAUUCUAAACCUCCCCAAUUGUUCCUAAGGAUAAUAUCACUAUUGUAAAACCCAAGAUUGGUGCUUAAGAUGUUUUUCAGACCCCGCACUCAUGGAUCAGCUGGCAUCACUCAGAUGGAUAAACUGGCUCAUCUAGUCCUGUAGCCCCCACCCAAGAACUGACUCAGUGCAAGAGGACAGUUUCAACUCCCUAUGAUUUCAUGUCACACCAGAGCCAUCAAUUCUCCCCGCUCCCUGGUCUCCUACUCCCCCAAAUUAUCCUUUAAAAAUCCCAGUCUCUGAAUUUUCAGGAGACUGCUUUAAGUAAUAAUAAAACUCUGGUCUCCUGUUUAGCCAGCUCUGUGUGAAUUAAACUCUUUAUUGCAAUUCCUUUGUCUUGAUGAAUCCACUGUCUGGGCAGCGGGCAAGAUGAACCCGUUGGGUGGUUACAAUGACACCAGGAACCCCUGGGAUCAAGACUUGCUCGAAGCCAGCCACACUUGAGACCUGUUAACCAAAAAAAAAAAAAAAAAUCCUUUUCUUAUUUAAGUCCAGUUUUCUUUUACUUGCAUCAUGAAGCAACCUAAAUGAUAACAGAAGUUUUAUUGCCAAAUAUACCAGUUACAGUCUUAAGAAAGUCGCAAAGGAAAAACUCAGAGCAAAGAUUUUCAGUCUUCAUAAGUUCAAAAUGUAUACUUUUAUCAUGUCUGAGAAAAGAAAGCAAUCAAUAUAUUCACAUCUUUUUCUGGGUAUAUGUGAUAUUUUUCCAUUGGAUAAUGAAUAGUAAACACUUUUACAAUAGCAAGUUGACAAAAUGAGAAUGUAUAAAAGAAAUUAAAAUAUAUCAACUAUUAAAUAAAUGCCAGGCAUUAUGCAACAAACCUUAUAUGCAUUAUUUCAAAUAAUUAUUAUAACUACUCUGAAUAGACACAUUAUUUCCAUUUUACAGAUGAGAAAAAUGAGGUUCAAAGAAGUGAUGUCAUGUUCUCUGAUUCUGUCUAUAUUGGAUACCUGGUGACGAUCUCCCCCUGUCUAAUACCCUAAACAUACGUUCACCUGCAUGCUGCUUCUGUUCUGGACCUUUGCGCUGGAUGUAGUCCCAACAGAGUGGCUUGCUGGGAGGAGGGAGAUACUUUUCAGAUAAGGCACUAGCACUUCAUCCUAACAACUUCUCCAUACUGAGGCAACAUUUUUAAAUACACAGAGAAUGCCUAGGAUUCAAUUGUUGAGAAAAAUUGAUCCAACGAGUGGAUAAAGAAAAUGUGAUAUAUAUGCACUAUGGAAUACUAAGCCAUAAGAAGGAAUGAAAUAAUGGCAUUUGCAGCAACCUAGAUGGAGUUGGAGACCAUUAUUCUAAGUGAAGUAACUCAAGAAUGGAAAACCAAAUAUUGUAUGUUCUCACUCGUAAGUGGGAGCUAAGCUGCGAAGAUGCAAAGGCAUAAGAAUGAUAUAGUGGACUUUGAGGACUCAAGGGUUGAAGGAUGAGACUACACAUUGGGUACAGUGUGCACUGCUUGGGUGAUGAGUGCACCAAAAUCUCAGAACUCACCACUGAAGAACUUCCCCAUGUAACCAAAAACCACCUGUUCCACAGAAACUAUCGAAAUAACAUUUUUAAAACUUUACUAUUUCUGAAUAAAAUUUACAUACAUUUCUCAGAAAAAAAAAUAUUUGGAAUUGAGGUAUCUAAUAGAGAACUGAGUUAAAUUAUUGCCACUUAAAAACACAAAGUGAUAUAGCCACUUUAUGAAUUAAUCAGUCAGCAGUGGCUAGGUUAUGCUUAGUGGUUUAUAACCAAAUCUUAGUUUAUAACAACAAAUGUGUAUUGUUAAUUCCCACUACAAGUUUAUAACGACAUUGCUGGAUGCUACACUCCAUGUCUCUUUGUGGGACCCAGGCUCAUGGGACUUCUGUUACCUGCAUUAGAGAGAGAGAAGACAACAAAAUAUGCACUGGUUCUUGAAGCUUUGGCCCAGAAGUAAAAUAUGUCUUUUACCUGUUCACAUUGCAUUGGGCCAGGGCAAUUAUCAUGGCUGCAAGUAACUUCAAAAGGAUGGGGAAGUGCGAUCUUGGCAUGUGUCAGAAGAAAUGAAAACAUUUGGUGAAGAGCAUUAAUGACUGUCUUUACAGGAAAAAAGCAAUCAAAUAGACAUGAUUGCUUGUUUCAGUUUCAUCAUUUCCUACUGUGUUACCUAAACUUUCUGAGCCCCAGUUUCUUAUUACUAAAAUAAAAUAAAGAUGAUAUUCACUUCAAGGACUUUGUGUUAACUAGGGUAAAAAAAUUGAAAACUAGUAAGUUAUGCAAAUUAGAAAUGUAUAAUAUUACUGCUUUGAAAGUGAUGGUGAAAUGUAGAAUAAUUGGAAGGAUAACACAAAGCACUUAUACCAGGAGGCUUUUAGCUGCAGAUAAUAGAAAUGAACCUCCACUACUUUAAUCAAUAAAAAAGUGUAUCAGCUCACAAAUUUGUCAUCCAGACAUAAAGGAGGCUUCAGAAUUUAUUGACUCAGGAGUUGAAUGUUGGUAUCAAGGACCUAGAUUUUUCUCAUCACUCUGCACUUCAAUUCUCAAUGCCCUAUUGAACAUCAGGCUGUAGUAAGAUGGCUAGAGUGAUUCCAGGGAUAACAUCUAGAGAUAAAAAAGAGAACUCCUUUUCUUAUGAUUUUUUUCUUAAGAGAAAAGGAAUUUCCCAAAAGCCCCCAGCAAGCAUGCCUUCACAUCCCAUGGCCAGAAGUGGCUCACAUGUGUACCCUGAGCUAAGCACUGCAGACAGGAAUGGAAUCGCCUGUAGGCCUCAGAGACCACCUGGAUCUUGGGAAGGUGUCAGCUCUACCUGUGGCACUUGGCUGAGUGGGAAAGGGAUGGAAACAUGAAUAAAGUAAGAAUUAGGAAGGAAAAGGAGAAAUGGAUCCAGGGUAUGAAGCCAAUAGUUUAGUUAUCUCAACAAAUAUGAUUGAUUUCAUCUUUAUGAAUGUGAUGACCUAAUUUAAUACAUUCAAUCAAUGAAGUAAAAAAAAGUGCAAGGACAAUAUGACAUCUGUCAUUCUCUGUUGAGAUUUGAGAGGUAAUAAUACCAAGAACGUGUGGUGACCUGGGUCCUCACUGCUACUGUCUUCCUGUACCUGGACACUUCUAGCAAGAGACUUCAACUUCAGAACAAAGAGGAUCCCAACUUGUAGCUGCAUUAUACACACCCCAGCAGCACACAUAAGUUGAUUUCUAAUUAUUCCUCUUUAAGAAAUUGUUUGUGGAAUAUUUAUCUAUUUAUAAAUGGAAAAAUAGAAAAUUAAAAUAACAAAAAUAAGUAACACCAUGUAUUGAGUGUCUACUGCGUGCUAGGCACUG